Long non-coding RNA from Beta vulgaris subsp. vulgaris (sugar beet), 1093 nucleotides. RefSeq lists it as uncharacterized. Lineage: Eukaryota; Viridiplantae; Streptophyta; Magnoliopsida; Caryophyllales; Amaranthaceae. The record is from RefSeq and is a predicted model, not a curated record. The transcript is spliced from 2 exons.
AUUAUAUACUUAUCCAAGAAUCUUAUAAACUAAUAGAUAAUUAGGUUAUGUUGAGGCUUCAUUUUAUUCAACUCAUUUUGACUUAUCCAAUUAACUAAUUCUAUCUUAUCUGAACUUACCUUAUCUAAUUUGAACUUAUUAAUCUUAUCUGAAUAUAAAGGAGAAACUUGCUUCUAACCAAGCCUCCACUAUUCAUUCUUCUCUGAAAAAGGAGGCAAACAUGAUGUUGAAGCCUAUUCUUUACCGUCCGGGCAACUAGCUGCUUUAAAUCAGAAGAUCGAUUCUUUGAAUCUAGGAAGACGAUUCGAGCGACAAUUUUGCAAAAAGGGUUAGCCAACCCAUUUAAGUUCUCUUUCUUCUUUGGGCUUAUUUUGUAUUUGUGAGCUCAAUGCUCAAUGGGUCCACUACAAUAAAUAAAAAACUAGCAGCCCAAGAAAAGAUAAGAAGAAAAGGGAAAGAACAAUUGAAGAAAAAAAGACAAGAAGAUUAGAAAAAGAAAGAGAAGAUUAUGGGGAAGAAAGUUUUGGGAAAGCAAAUUGAAAAAUUGUCUGACAUUAGGAAAUUAUUAGAUUAAGAAAGUGUAGGAGAUCUUAGGGGGGACUUUUUGGAUUUUAAUGAAAGGAGGAGGAGAUGAGUGGAUGCAUAGAAGCGAAGAAAAGGAAAUAUAGGAGUGGGUAGCAGCGAAUUGUAUUGGAAGAAUAGCACCAGUACGCAGCAUCAAAUUACAGACAACAGAGAAAACAACAAGCAGAGAACAACACCAAAUUACAGAAUAGCAACAACCAUUAUAGAUUACAGACUACAAUAGCAAAUUGUCGAUAUCAGCGAAUUCAUCUUGUUUCCUUCGGUAAUUUGUGGUACUUUUCAAGUUGGGGUUUUACUCUAAUUUUCCUUUUUCUCCAUACAACUAGUAAUUGAACUUGGAUUAAUAAUAUAGUUAUUAGAUUUUUUAUUUUUUCAAUUAUGAAUUCUUUCACUCUUAUUAUUAUUAUUUUUGUUCUUAGUAUGUUAGGCUAAAUCUCUUUAGGAUAGGGAGAUAUAUUGAGUAUUAGAUUAUUAUAUUGAGAGAAUAGAAAAGCUAUGAUUUUUCAUA